Molecule: ribosomal RNA, 247 nt
Filed under: uncultured bacterium
Lineage: Bacteria
Description: partial 16S ribosomal RNA
Rfam family: Bacterial small subunit ribosomal RNA
Source: RNAcentral
GGGGGCAAGCGUUGUUCGGAAUUACUGGGCGUAAAGGGCGCGUAGGCGGCCUGUUAAGUCGAACGUGAAAUCCCCGGGCUCAACCCGGGAACUGCGUCCGAUACUGGCAGGCUUGAAUCCGGGAGAGGGAUGUGGAAUUCCAGGUGUAGCGGUGAAAUGCGUAGAGAUGCGGAGGAACACCGAUGGCGAAGGCAGCCCCCUGGGCUAACACUGACGCUCAGGCACGAAAGCGUGGGGAGCAAACAGG